Molecule: ribosomal RNA, 398 nt
Filed under: uncultured bacterium
Lineage: Bacteria
Description: bacterial SSU rRNA
Rfam family: Bacterial small subunit ribosomal RNA
Source: RNAcentral
CAUGCCUAAUACAUGCAAGUCGAACGAACACUUCGGUGUUAGUGGCGCACGGGUGCGUAACGCGUGGGAAUCUACCCUUGGGUUCGGAAUAACAGUGGGAAACUACUGCUAAUACCGGAUGAUGACGAAAGUCCAAAGAUUUAUCGCCCAAGGAUGAGCCCGCGUAGGAUUAGCUUGUUGGUGAGGUAAAAGCUCACCAAGGCGACGAUCCUUAGCUGGUCUGAGAGGAUGAUCAGCCACACUGGGACUGAGACACGGCCCAGACUCCUACGGGAGGCAGCAGUAGGGAAUAUUGGACAAUGGGCGAAAGCCUGAUCCAGCAAUGCCGCGUGAGUGAUGAAGGCCUUAGGGUUGUAAAGCUCUUUUACCCGGGAUGAUAAUGACAGUACCGGGAGAAU